UUACCUGUGGGUGUAUUAACACCCCGGCUUUCUCACCAACUGUAUCAACUAUGGCCUGAGUAUGAUAGACUUAUCCAUGGUUUAAACAGAAUAUAUUGUUUUCAACUUUGAAAAUAAGAAUAUGGAAAUCCAGAUGCAGAAAUGUGAGAAGAAAAGAGAGUAAACAGAGUGGAAGGUCAGGUGACCUUGCCUGUCAUGAAUAUGAAGGUCAAGGUGUGUGAAUUGUGAAAUUUCCAAGAGAACCUCACUGAAGCAAAGAAUGGAGAAAGAAUCGCAUUUGGCCCUGGGAGCGUGCAGGGGUGAAUGGUGCAGGAGCUAAAUCUUUAUCAUACCCAGAAAUCAACAGCCACUAUUUGAAAUCAUCUAAAUUCGUGCUGCUAACCUUCAGUGUACACACAAAUCACCUGGGGAUCUUAUUAAAAGCUAGUUUCUGAUUCACUA
This 441-nucleotide long non-coding RNA is filed under the name Pan troglodytes (chimpanzee). RNAcentral describes it as "lincRNA". Lineage: Eukaryota; Metazoa; Chordata; Mammalia; Primates; Hominidae. The record is from RNAcentral.